RNAcentral lists this small nuclear RNA (187 nucleotides) under Mus spicilegus (steppe mouse). RNAcentral describes it as "U2 spliceosomal RNA (ENSMSIG00000003601.1)". It matches the Rfam family "U2 spliceosomal RNA". From Rfam's summary of the family: U2 is a small nuclear RNA (snRNA) component of the spliceosome (involved in pre-mRNA splicing). Complementary binding between U2 snRNA (in an area lying towards the 5' end but 3' to hairpin I) and the branchpoint sequence (BPS) of the intron results the bulging out of an unpaired adenosine, on the BPS, which initiates a nucleophilic attack at the intronic 5' splice site, thus starting the first of two transesterification reactions that mediate splicing. The record is from Rfam by way of RNAcentral. Lineage: Eukaryota; Metazoa; Chordata; Mammalia; Rodentia; Muridae.
ACAGCUUCUCAUCUUUUGGCUAGAAUCAAGUGUAGCAUGUGUUCUUACCAGCUUAAUAUCUGGUGUGUCCUUUAUCCGACAAUAAUAUAUUCAAUGAUUUUUUUUUUUUUGAAACAGAAAGACUCUUCUCUGUCUGCUCCAUGCAUCCACCUGGUACUACAAUGCCUCUGAGAAUGAUGUACUUCAU